Molecule: ribosomal RNA, 147 nt
Filed under: uncultured methanogenic archaeon
Lineage: Archaea; Methanobacteriati; Methanobacteriota
Description: partial 16S ribosomal RNA
Rfam family: Archaeal small subunit ribosomal RNA
Source: RNAcentral
UACGGGGUGCAGCAGGCGCGAAACCGGUGCAAUGUACGAAAGUGCGAUGGGGGAAUGCCACUAACAGAAUAGCUUUUCAUUAGUGUAAAGAGCUUUUAGAAUAAGAGCUGGGCAAGACCGGUGCCAGCCCGGUAACACCGGCAGCUC